CUUGAUCGAGCCCACCCACAGCGGGUGCUCGGCGGUGCGCUCGCGGCCGUAGGUCGCCAGCAGCGCCUGCGCCUC
Molecule: antisense RNA, 75 nt
Filed under: Actinosynnema mirum DSM 43827
Lineage: Bacteria; Bacillati; Actinomycetota; Actinomycetes; Pseudonocardiales; Pseudonocardiaceae
Description: ASpks TB sRNA
Rfam family: ASpks TB sRNA
Source: Rfam by way of RNAcentral